ACAACUGCCAUAAUGGCCAUAGCAGAAGCCUUCACAUCACGGCCCCUGUCAGAGUCCAAUGAUUCUACUCAAUUCUGCU
RNAcentral lists this ribozyme (79 nucleotides) under Crocodylus porosus (Australian saltwater crocodile). RNAcentral's name for it is "Mammalian CPEB3 ribozyme (ENSCPRG00005018591.1)". It matches the Rfam family "Mammalian CPEB3 ribozyme". Rfam says of the family: The mammalian CPEB3 ribozyme is a self cleaving RNA located in the second intron of the CPEB3 gene which belongs to a family of genes regulating messenger RNA polyadenylation. Lineage: Eukaryota; Metazoa; Chordata; Crocodylia; Crocodylidae. The record is from RNAcentral.